Molecule: ribosomal RNA, 497 nt
Filed under: uncultured bacterium
Lineage: Bacteria
Description: partial 16S ribosomal RNA
Rfam family: Bacterial small subunit ribosomal RNA
Source: RNAcentral
GAUGAACGCUGGCGGCGUGCCUAAUACAUGCAAGUCGAGCGAACAGAUAAGGAGCUUGCUCCUUUGACGUUAGCGGCGGACGGGUGAGUAACACGUGGGUAACCUACCUAUAAGACUGGGAUAACUUCGGGAAACCGGAGCUAAUACCGGAUAAUAUUUCGAACCGCAUGGUUCGAUAGUGAAAGAUGGUUUUGCUAUCACUUAUAGAUGGACCCGCGCCGUAUUAGCUAGUUGGUAAGGUAACGGCUUACCAAGGCGACGAUACGUGGCCGACCUGAGAGGGUGAUCGGCCACACUGGAACUGAGACACGGUCCAGACUCCUACGGGAGGCAGCAGUAGGGAAUCUUCCGCAAUGGGCGAAAGCCUGACGGAGCAACGCCGCGUGAGUGAUGAAGGUCUUCGGAUCGUAAAACUCUGUUAUUAGGGAAGAACAUACGUGUAAGUAACUGUGCACGUCUUGACGGUACCUAAUCAGAAAGCCACGGCUAACUACGUG